AUGUCAAGAACAGAGGCAAUCUUGCGGCUCCUCCUGGCCCUUUGCAUCCUCCCCUGCAACACAUCCAUUUCCUCCGCCGCUGAUGCAUUCCUCCGCUGCCUCGCCGCCGCCAUCCCGCCCCAUCUCCUCCACACCCCGCCCUCCCCGUCCUACUCCCCGCUCCUGCUCUCCUCCGUCCGGAACCUCCGAUUCGUCACGCCGGGAACCCCAAGGCCUCUCGCAAUCGUCGCCGCCGGGGAGGCCUCCCACGCCCAGGCCGCCGUGCGCUGCGGCCGUCUGCACGGCGUCCGCGUGCGCGUGCGCAGCGGCGGGCACGACUACGAGGGCCUCUCCUACCUCUCCCUGGACCCCCGCGAGCCCUUCGCCCUGCUCGACCUCGCCGCGCUCCGCGCCGUCCGCGUCGACCCCGCGCGCGCCGAGGCCUGGGUCGGGUCCGGCGCCACGCUCGGCGAGCUCUACUAUGCCGUGGCCGCCGCGAGCCGCGCGCUCGCCUUCCCCGCCGGGGUCUGCCCCACCGUCGGCGUCGGUGGCCACCUCUGCGGCGGCGGCUUCGGCACGCUAAUGCGCAGGUACGGCCUCGCCGCCGACCACGUCCUGAACGCCGUCCUCGUGGACGCCGGCGGGAGGCUCCUGAACAGGACCGCCAUGGGUGAAGAUCUCUUCUGGGCCAUCAGGGGUGGCGGCGGCGAGAGCUUCGGCGUCGUGCUGUCCUGGAAGCUCCGGCUCGUGCGCGUGCCGGAGUCGGUCACGGUGUUCACCAUCCGUCGGUCAAGAAACCAAUCUGCCACCCAUCUCAUAGCCAAAUGGCAAGAGAUCGCGCCGGCCCUGCCCCCCGGACCUAUAUCUACGGGUCAUCGUGCAUAA
RNAcentral lists this ribosomal RNA (864 nucleotides) under Triticum aestivum (bread wheat). RNAcentral describes it as "partial small subunit ribosomal RNA". The record is from RNAcentral. Lineage: Eukaryota; Viridiplantae; Streptophyta; Magnoliopsida; Poales; Poaceae.